RNAcentral lists this small nucleolar RNA (105 nucleotides) under Macleaya cordata. RNAcentral describes it as "Small nucleolar RNA snoR113". It matches the Rfam family "Small nucleolar RNA snoR113". The record is from Rfam by way of RNAcentral. Lineage: Eukaryota; Viridiplantae; Streptophyta; Magnoliopsida; Ranunculales; Papaveraceae.
UAGCAGUGAUGAAAAAAGGCCGGUCUUACAGCUGCUUUGGUUGAAUCCAAUUGGUAGUAGAAAUGUAGAAUGACGUGAACUUUCAUGUGGUUUUUUCUGUGCCAG